Molecule: ribosomal RNA, 301 nt
Filed under: uncultured bacterium
Lineage: Bacteria
Description: partial 16S ribosomal RNA
Rfam family: Bacterial small subunit ribosomal RNA
Source: RNAcentral
CAGUAGCCGCGGUAAUACAGAGGAUGCAAGCGUUAUCCGGAAUGAUUGGGCGUAAAGCGUCUGUAGGUGGCUUUUCAAGUCCGCCGUCAAAUCCCAGGGCUCAACCCUGGACAGGCGGUGGAAACUACCAAGCUGGAGUACGGUAGGGGCAGAGGGAAUUUCCAGUGGAGCGGUGAAAUGCGUUGAGAUCGAAAAGAACACCAACAGCGAAAGCACUCUGCUGGGACGACACUGACACUAAGAGACGAAAGCUAGGGGAGCAAAUGGGAUUAGAUACCCCAGUAGUCCCUGUCUCUUAUAC